RNAcentral lists this ribosomal RNA (253 nucleotides) under uncultured bacterium. RNAcentral's name for it is "partial 16S ribosomal RNA". It matches the Rfam family "Bacterial small subunit ribosomal RNA", at positions 524 to 776 of the family's 1533-position model. The record is from RNAcentral.
UACGAAGGGGGCUAGCGUUGUUCGGAAUUACUGGGCGUAAAGGGCGCGUAGGCGGCCUUGAUAGUUGGGCGUGAAAGGCCUGGGCUUAACCCAGGAACUGCGUUCAAUACUGCGAGGCUAGAGUGUGGGAGAGGUUGGUGGAAUUCCCAGUGUAGAGGUGAAAUUCGUAGAUAUUGGGAAGAACACCGGUGGCGAAGGCGGCCAACUGGACCAACACUGACGCUCAUGCACGAAAGCGUGGGGAGCAAACAGG